CAUGUCUUUUUGAUUAUAAUUUUAAGUCUGAUCUGCUCAAUGAGGGUUUUAAAUUGCCGCAGUAUAUUGACUGUGCAAAGGUAGCGUAAUAAUUAGUUUCUUAAUUAGAAGCUUGAAUGAAGGAUUUGACAAGAAAGUGUCUGUCUCUUUUUAAUUAUUAUAAAAUUUUAUUUUUAAGUUAAAAAGCUUAAAUUUUUUUAAAAGACAAGAAGACCCUAUAGAGUUUAAUAUUAUGUUUAUUAUUUUUAUGGAAGUUUUAAUUAUUCUUUAUAUUUAGUUGGGGUGACAAGAAGAUAAUAAUUAAUUCUUUUAUAAGAUGGGUUGAUGAUUAUUAAUUUUGUAGUCUUAUAGUUUAGAGAUUAAAAUAAAUUACCUUAGGGAUAACAGCGUUAUUUUUUUUUAGAGUUCUAAUUGAGAAAAAAGUUUGCGACCUCGAUGUUGGAUUAAAAUUAAUUUUUGGCGAAGUAGCUUUAGGAUUUGGUCUGUUCGACCAUUAAAAUUUUACAUGAUCUGAGUUUAAACCGGUGUGAGCCAGGUUGGAUUCUAUCUUUAGUUUAUUUUAAUGUUUUAGUACGAAAGGACCAAUCAUUGAUUAUAUAUUAAUUA
RNAcentral lists this ribosomal RNA (606 nucleotides) under Libnetis sp. UPOL A00591. RNAcentral describes it as "partial 16S ribosomal RNA". The stretch from base 380 to 538 matches the Rfam family "Bacterial large subunit ribosomal RNA", at positions 2473 to 2632 of the family's 2925-position model. Lineage: Eukaryota; Metazoa; Arthropoda; Insecta; Coleoptera; Lycidae. The record is from RNAcentral.